CACAAAGAGGUGGACGCGACUGAGCAACUAAGCAUAGCAACAACAAGCUCUGAUUCAAGGCAGUGAUGUCAAACAUUAUGAGAGUGUUUAUUUCUUUGGAAUGGGAUGCGACAUUUACAUGACACAUCUGCGUGUUUUAGAAGACUGUCUAACCCAAGCACAUGCAGGAUUAUAGAAAGAAGAGAGGCAGCCCCAUUCAAACAUCUCUUUUCAAACCAGAAAUAAGCAAAGGAUCUCCGAGUCUGGAUGCAGCACCGAAUCUAAUAACAGGGCCCUGCAGGAACCAGACCUCUCGAAAGAGCAAGGGCAGGAAAGGGGAGGCACAGCAGCAGUGUGGUCACUGCUCUGCCUAGUGAGGACGGGGACCAUCGCUCCGGCCCACUGUCACGGCGCUGAAGAGGAAAACACUAAAUUGACUUAUACCCGUGAACACCCUCUCUGAGCUCACAAGCAGCUGUCAUCUAAGGGA
RNAcentral lists this long non-coding RNA (469 nucleotides) under Capra hircus (goat). Its description in RNAcentral is "lncRNA (ENSCHIG00000006924.1)". Lineage: Eukaryota; Metazoa; Chordata; Mammalia; Artiodactyla; Bovidae. The record is from RNAcentral.